This 482-nucleotide ribosomal RNA is filed under the name Lanistes cf. stuhlmanni RS-2009. RNAcentral describes it as "partial large subunit ribosomal RNA". It matches the Rfam family "Bacterial large subunit ribosomal RNA", at positions 1831 to 2560 of the family's 2925-position model. The record is from RNAcentral. Lineage: Eukaryota; Metazoa; Mollusca; Gastropoda; Architaenioglossa; Ampullariidae.
UUGGAAAAUUUUUAUAAAGAGUCUAGCCUGCCCAGUGAUUAAAAGUUUAACGGCCGCGGUUCUUUGACCGUGCNAAGGUNGCAUAAUCAAUUGCCUUAUAAUUANAGGCUUGUAUGAAAGGUUUAACGAGAAUUUAACUGGCUCCUGCUAAUUANGAUGAAUUUGACUUUUAAGUGCNAAGGCUUANAUAAUAUUGAAAGACAAGAAGACCCUAUUGAGCUUAAAAUUUUUUAGNNGNAUAUACNUUAUAAAUAUUUAAAUUUUAAUCUAUUAACUUUUUUUAGUUGGGGCGACUUCGGAACAAUUAAAACUUCCGAGAUGUNAUUAGUAUGAUACUAUUNUAAUUUUUUUUGNAUGAUCCUAUUCUGAUUAACAGAAUAAGUUACCNNAGGGAUAACANCAUAAUCUUCUUUAAGAGCUCUNAUCGANAAGAAGGUNUGNGACCUCNNUGUUGGACUANAAUAUCCUAAGGGGCAGAANUC